RNAcentral lists this ribosomal RNA (1465 nucleotides) under uncultured Bordetella sp. RNAcentral describes it as "partial 16S-23S ribosomal RNA intergenic spacer". It matches the Rfam family "Bacterial small subunit ribosomal RNA". The record is from RNAcentral. Lineage: Bacteria; Pseudomonadati; Pseudomonadota; Betaproteobacteria; Burkholderiales; Alcaligenaceae.
GGCUUGAUCCUGGCUCAGAUUGAACGCUGGCGGAUGACAUGCAAGUCGAACGGCAGCACGGACAGACUUCGGUCUGGUGGUUAAGGGCGAACGGGUGAGUAAUGUAUCGGAACGUGUCAUAGUAGCGGGGAUAACUACGCGAAAGCGUAGCUAAUACCGCGUAUACGCCCUUCGGGGAAAGCGGGGGGACCUUCGGGCCUCGCACUAUUAGAGCGGCCGAUAUCGGAUUAGCUAGUUGGUGGGGUAACGGCUCACCAAGGCGACGAUCCGGCUGGCCGAGAGGACGACCAGCCACACUGACUGGAGACACGGCCCAGACUUACGGGAGGCAGCAGUGGGGAAUUUUGGAUAAUGGGGAAACCCUGAUCCAGCCAUCUCAUGUGUGCGAUGAAGGCCUUCGGGUUGUAAAGCACUUUUGGCAGGAAGAAACGGCACGGGAUAAUACCCCGUGCAACUGACGGUACCGCAGAAUAAGCACCGGCUAACUACGUGCCAGCAGCCGCGGUACGCAGGGUGCAAGCGUUAAUCGGAAUUACUGGGCGUAAAAGCGUGGCAGGUUAUUCCUGGAAAGAAAGAAGAUGUGAAAUCCCAGAGCUUAACUUUGGAACUGCAUUUUUAACUACCGAGCUAGAGUGUGUCAGAGGGAGGUGAAUUCCGCGUAGCAGUGAAAUGCGUAUAGGUGGAGGAACACCGAUGGCGAAGGCAGCCUCCUGGGAUAACACUGACGCUCAUGGCCGAAAGCGGGGAGCAAACAGGAUUAGAUACCCUGGUAGUCCACGCCCUAAACGAUGUCAACUAGCUGUUGGGGCUUUCGGGCCUCGGUAGCGCAGCUAACGCUAUGAAGUUGACCGCCUGGGGAGAAGGUUCUGGUGAUUAAACUCAAAGGAAUUGACGGGGACCGCACAAGCGGUGGAUGAUGUGGAUUAAUCGAUGCAACGCGGAAAAAACCUGCCUACCCUUGACAUGUCUGAAUCCCGAAGAGAUUUGGGAGUGCUCGCAAGAGAACCGGAACACAGGUGCUGCAUGGCCGUCGUCAGCUGUGUCGUGAGAUGUUGGGUUAAGUCCCGCAACGAGCGCAACCCUUGUCAUUAGUUGCCAUGAAAGGGCACUCUAUCGAGACUGCCGGUGACAAACCGGAGGAAGGUGGGGAUGACGUCAAGUCCUCAUGGCCCUUAUGGGUAGGGCUUCACACGUCAUACAAUGGUCGGGACAGAGGGCUCGCCAACCCGAGGAGCCAAUCCCAGAAACCCGGAUCGUAGUCCGGAUCGCAGUCUGCAACCUGACUGCGUGAAGUCGGACCGCUAGUAAUCGCGGAUCAGCAGGUUGCAGGAACACAACGUGGGUCUUGUACACACCGCCCGUCACACCAUGGGAGUGGGUUUUACCAGAAGUAGUUAGCUCAACCGUAAGGAGGGCGAUUACCACGGUAGGGAUUCAUGACUGGGGUGAAGUCGUAACAAGGUAA